This 311-nucleotide unclassified non-coding RNA is filed under the name Hevea brasiliensis (rubber tree). The record is from RNAcentral. Lineage: Eukaryota; Viridiplantae; Streptophyta; Magnoliopsida; Malpighiales; Euphorbiaceae.
GGCAAUUUCUUCUCGUUUCAAUGUCGAGGCUUUAGCUGUUGUGGCCAGAACACACUCGGGUGACAUGUGGGUGGAAAUGUAACCAUGUCCAAGCAAUGAUAGACCCUCAGGCUAUUGAGGCGUUGGCUUGCCGUAAGGCCCUUCAACUAGCUCAAACAAAAGGUUUUUAUCAUAGAAGGUGAUGCUCACAGUGUCAUUCUAUCCAUUUAAGGUCAGCCACCACCCUCUGCCAUUAAAGGAGUAAUUGAACAUAUUUCUCAGCUAUCUCAGGGUUUAGGCAUAUUUCGUUCAACUUUGUUGGAAGAUUUUGU